GCUUGAGUAUGUUUGAGGCAGGCGGAAUGCGUGGUGUAGCGGUGAAAUGCAUAGAUAUCACGCAGAACCCCGAUUGCGAAGGCAGCCUGCCAAGCCAUUACUGACGCUGAUGCACGAAAGCGUGGGGAUCAAACAGGAUUAGAUACCCUGGUAGUCCACGCAGUAAACGAUGAUCACUAGCUGUUUGCGAUACACUGUAAGCGGCACAGCGAAAGCGUUAAGUGAUCCACCUGGGGAGUACGCCGGCAACGGUGAAACUCAAAGGAAUUGACGGGGGCCCGCACAAGCGGAGGAACAUGUGGUUUAAUUCGAUGAUACGCGAGGAACCUUACCCGGGUUUGAACGCAUUCGGACCGAGGUGGAAACACCUUUUCUAGCAAUAGCCGUUUGCGAGGUGCUGCAUGGUUGUCGUCAGCUCGUGCCGUGAGGUGUCGGCUUAAGUGCCAUAACGAGCGCAACCCUUGCCACUAGUUACUAACAGGUUAGGCUGAGGACUCUGGUGGGACUGCCAGCGUGAGCUGCGAGGAAGGCGGGGAUGACGUCAAAUCAGCACGGCCCUUACAUCCGGGGCGACACACGUGUUACAAUGGCGUGGACAAAGGGAUGCCACCUGGCGACAGGGAGCGAAUCCCCAAACCACGUCUCAGUUCGGAUCGGAGUCUGCAACCCGACUCCGUGAAGCUGGAUUCGCUAGUAAUCGCGCAUCAGCCAUGGCGCGGUGAAUACGUUCCCAGGCCUUGUACACACCGCCCGUCAAGCCAUGGGAGCCGGGGGUACCUGAAGUCCGUAACCGAAAGGAUCGGCCUAGGGUAAAACU
Molecule: ribosomal RNA, 817 nt
Filed under: uncultured organism
Description: SSU rRNA
Rfam family: Bacterial small subunit ribosomal RNA
Source: RNAcentral